UGAAUUCCAAUUUGGCAGAUGAGGGAAUAUAUCUCUCUGUCCUUUCCUUCCUCAAAGUUCGCUGGCCACUGCUGUUCAUAAUGAUGUUUCAAAGAUAUGUUUCUCAUUUCAUUGGAAUGCUCAUGAUAGACUGAUAGUCAUCUGCGUCAACAGCACUAAAGGAGCACGACAGAAGAUUAUCACCGAUAGUGGGAGGGAAGCUUGGUCACCAGCAAUAAUUUUAGUCACCUAUCCAAUUGCCAACAGUUCCAAGGACUGAAAUGCCACAGUACUCAAACUUCAGUCAUAAUUGCCUGCUUCGAUGAUUCCAUUCCUUGAUGUUGCUUUUGUUAUUUCCUUACUCAUAUCCGAGGUCAAUCGAUACAGCUAAUCAUUCUUCAUUCAACCAAACUGCAUAUGCUCUGUUUUCCGUUG
RNAcentral lists this long non-coding RNA (414 nucleotides) under Eucalyptus grandis. Its description in RNAcentral is "long non-coding RNA (EGRA_LNC004002)". Lineage: Eukaryota; Viridiplantae; Streptophyta; Magnoliopsida; Myrtales; Myrtaceae. The record is from RNAcentral.